Molecule: transfer RNA, 54 nt
Filed under: Phlebotomus major
Lineage: Eukaryota; Metazoa; Arthropoda; Insecta; Diptera; Psychodidae
Description: tRNA-Ser
Source: RNAcentral
UUAAAUUAGUUAAUGAGCUUGAUAAAGCAAUUGUUUUGAAAACAUUAAAUAGAA